RNAcentral lists this non-coding RNA (28 nucleotides) under Homo sapiens (human). The record is from RNAcentral. Lineage: Eukaryota; Metazoa; Chordata; Mammalia; Primates; Hominidae.
UGAGCCGCAUCAAGAAGCAGGUGAGCCC